CAAAAACAAAACUAAAGUAACAAGAAAAACACCAGAAAGCAAGUGAGAAUGCUGCAACAAAAUCUGGCUGCGGAUGAAACAUUCUUGCAGCAGCCUUGGAGGCUGAAUGUCAGCUGAGGAUCUCAAAAGUGAGGGGGAGCAGCAAACGCCUUGUCUCAAGACCCUUUUUCAGGACCUGAGGGAAUGGUGCUUCUACUGCAGCAGUGCAGCAAAAACUUGCAUGCAAGGAGAAAAUAUUCUACCUUGGCAUUUGGAGCCUCACUAACAAGCAGCCAGAGAGGAGCGAUGCCAUAUAAAACUUUAACUUCUAAAUAUGAAAUUUUGGAGAUUGCAAUGAGCAGAGAGUGCCAGCUCCAUGCCAGCAGUAGGGAGGAGGCAGAGGGAACGCCAUCAGCUCGCUACUUGCUGCUGCACAGAGCACAUAGCCCCAGGAGUUUCUCUGCCCGGUGUCCUGUUACCACUUGAAUCAAGAUGUGAAAGCCAAGCCAGCUUAUUUUUAGCACAAUUUGGACCUAAAGAAGCAAACGCUGGUGAAAUAUGCAGUACUGACAGCCCUGGAAAAUCUUUAUUCAUCUGCAGCACAGGAAGCAGGGAAGGAUGCGAGAAAGCAGAGCAAUCCCAAGCUACAAACCAAGUCUCUCAGCUUCUUGGACUCAGCCUCUCUAGCACUGCACAGAUCCUGGCGGUAGCUGGGAGAGGGUUUUUCCACGCUCAGAGCGGGCCUGGCACAGCAGGGAGGAGUGCGGCGUGCCGCAGAUUAGGACAGCCUGCAAGCCUCCAGCUGAGCUCACUACGUCUGUUGGAGCUCAACUGCAGCAACGGUGGGACUGUAAAAAUGGGAGAGACUCGGAAAACUUGAGUAUCAGAGCCCUGCUCUGCUAAGCUCUGAGAGUUUACUGUGUUAAUACAACAUUGGAUCUGUGCAACUGGGCGAUCCAGUGGCACUGAUGCUGCCCUGUACCACCUCUAGCAGUCACUCAGACCCUCUGCUCUGUGGAGGAACCCAAAAAGAGGACACUUAUGACACAACCAUCAUGCCAAGCAGGCAUGUUUCUAUCCCCAUCUCUUAGGACCCUGCUGAAAUCCUGCAGUGCAUUUAGGUAUCUUCAGGACCUGAGCUGGCUGGGGGCUGGUAAAUCACUGCAGGCAGCAGUUGGCUGGAGUGGAGAUGGGGCCAUGAAGGGGAGCAGAGCAGCAAAAAUGGGUCCCUUCAACUUUUGGGGCACAGGUAGGAGGUCCCUGAAUGUGUGCCAGGAAUGGUAGCUGGGGUUGUUGAAGGUGACCACAGGAGAUGUCCCCUACAUCUCUCUGCCAGGAGAAUGCGCACACAGUGUUAACACGCUUGUCAUCAGUAGGUCUGAAAUCCAACCACGGACAGCUCAGGGAUCUGACAAUUGUUUGUGUCUGCCUUGAGACAAAUACCUCAUUGCCCCCUUUGCAAAUUUGCUUCUCUGCUGCGCGUGUGUUUCGAGUUUCCUCAUGCAAAACCUGCGUGGGUGUUUGGAUAUGUAAUGAGCACAUAGUUCAGGAUGAAAACAAGUUGCCUGGAAGAGCCAAGUAACGCCAAAAAAAUGAAAGCAAUACAAACAACAACAUGGCAC
RNAcentral lists this long non-coding RNA (1601 nucleotides) under Gallus gallus (chicken). RNAcentral describes it as "long non-coding RNA NONGGAT000049". Lineage: Eukaryota; Metazoa; Chordata; Aves; Galliformes; Phasianidae. The record is from RNAcentral.